CUCUCUCUCUCUCUGUCUCUGUCAUUUUCACAGCGGGAGCCCUCGUGCCUGUUUUCGCCGUGUGGUGUUGAGGCUGCACGAGACGUCUUCCUGGCCCUUGCAUGCCUGUCUGAUGAAGGAAUGGAGACGUUAAUAGCAUCACUCUGCCGUCGCUGCGCCCCACUCUGAGUGGCUGUUUGAGGAUGUCAGAAAGGUCCUGGGGCGGCAGCAGCAGAGUUUGGGACCAGGUGGGUUUGCUAAUGGCAUGCCAGUGGAGGAAUCUGUGUCUGUCAGCGUUGAACUUGUCCGGUGGGAAUCACCCCUGGAAUGUGUUUAGCAUCACAGCUGAGGGUGUCGGGGGUCAGGUGGCUGAGCGGGACUGGUGUGUGUUGGUGUGUCUGUGUGUGUGUAAAACCAUGUCUGCAUGAUUUAUCCUGCAGGAAGCACCAUGAAUCACUCUGUGUGGAACAUGCAGACUGAGCAUUUCUACGAUUGUUGGAGUUGAUUUUAGAUAUAAAUACAUAAAUAUGAUUAAAAUAAGUCAUUUUGGUUGAUACAAACCAUCACUUCCACACACCAUUCUUGUUUUUAUUUAAAAAUAAUGAAUCAGAUUUAGUUAAUUGAUUAGUUUAACUUUUAUGGAUGUCAUUCAUGUAGUUCAUGACACAAUUAAAAAAAAAUAAAAUAAAAUAAAGUUGCUCAUUCUAGUAGAAAUGCACUCACGCACAAGUGUGCACAUGUGUCUUUCCGUCACUGGGGUGUUGAUGGAUUAUGAAGGGGCCCGUGUUGGGGGAACACCAGGCCUUCAAUGUCGCAGCCUGACCUCUAAAUACACACCCGAGCACCCGAGGGUCGUGACCCCAGGGUGUCCAGGGACCAGUUGCUGCGUGGGCCCUCUCCUACUCACGCGAGAGCAGUUGGGUCAAAGCAUAUGACCGAACCACUUGCUUCAGAUGUCAGGGGAUAAUUUACUGCGGUCUUUUGAUGCCACACCAACAGUCCUGACAAAUGUUACACCUCCGUACGAGGACAGAUAGUGUGUCAAUCUCUUGCUCAAAAUGUAAAUUUGGAAAAUUUUUCCACUGCUUGGAAAAUUGUUCACAGCGAGAAAGUGGAGACGAUUGGCUGUUCAAAGUCUCAAUGUAAACAUACCAUCUUACAGUUGUGUUUUUUAAGGUUUACCAAAGCCAGGUGGCCAGUUCCCGCUGAUCUCUCAUAUUUCUUGCAUCCAGACAUUUGGGGAAAGCCUCAUGAAAGAAAGUGUGUGGCUGCAGCCGUACUGGGUGUGUUUAUACACUGAAUUCAGGAGUAUCAUUGCCCACACUCACAACCAUCUGCCCGCUUACGUUACACGACCCUGCAAACUUACAUUUUCUCUUUUUAUUUCCUUUCUCAGGAGAUCCCGGUCUCAACAAGCUCGCUUUAUAUCACAUGCAUUUUUCUGUGAAAUGCCACUGUGUCGGUUUUCGACAGGCUGUAACAUGCUGUCAAAGCGCUGCCAGUCAACAUGAUGACAGUGGAAGAUUAGCAUCCCAACAGAGGCUGCAGGAGGGAGAAAACAGGAAGUUAGGGGUUGAGUGGGUUGAACAGAGCUCUGAUGUGUCGAGCUAAAACUGUGUCAUCUUAUCUGUCUCCAUCAACUAUGGGAUGGUGAAGCCAGGCAGGCAGGAGAAAACUGGCAACUCUCCCCAGUAACUUCUCAUUACACCCCAUGGUUUAAUAACUCGCUUGUCACUCCAGCCAGCCCCCCCGACCCCUGACAAUCAUUCAACAUGGUACUGACACAACUUUUAAACAAUACAUCUGCAUUCCUUCCAUCCUCAGGCCCCAUCUGACAGCAGCUCAGGGCCGAACACGACACGGCAAACAAACCGCUGCUGUCAGUCUCAAUACUAAAUAAUGUUGGAAAUUUCUGCCGUGCGUUCCACAGGCAUCUGGCACGGUGCAGUAGCUCCAGAGAAGUGUUCAAUGAGGUCAGCAGAGCACUGAUGCUUUCGCUCUCACCAAAGUGCAGUGUGUUUCUGUGUCAUUCAGUUCACUUGACAGCAUGAUUACGUCUGAGAGGAAUGUAACACCAGGCCAUGUAUGUGCAAAUCUCAAGCUGGACCCUAAACGCACCAAGGCAUGUAAAUGUGUAUAUGAAUGUCUUGUGUCAGCCCCAAUUUUCAAAAGCCGAGUAAGUAAUGUAAUUAAAAGUUUCUUUGGAAACCAGAAAGUCAUUAUAAGUGUCAGAGCUCCCUCUGUUGGAAAAGUGAAGGAACUCUUUCACUCUGUGUCAGAGGCUGGAGAGUAGUUAGUUAAACUCUAAACAUAACUAACUGUUGAUGUUAUUCCAGUUGCAUCUUUAACUAGGUAAACAUAACUGUGUGAUCACCAUCCAUAUUAAAGGUUGUUUAUCCUCCUUUAUCAAUAUAAUCUUUUGUUAUUUUUAUUUAUCCAGACUUAUCAGCUCAUUAUUCAGCAUAUCAACAUAUUUAUUGAGUUGGGCUGAAGUUAAAGUAAAUGUUAAUCUUGGCUUGUUUUUUCUUGUUGUGUUUUGCAAAUCUCACAAACUGCGAUUGGACUUUCAGACUGUGGAGUUUCAGAGGCUAAACAAACUAUGAAGGUCAUAAAAACAACAUUGAAUAGAAAAGCAUAAAAAGUCAUAAAAGGUAACAGUAUAGUAAGGCAUUAAAGGCAAAAAAACAACAGAAUAGAAGGGCAUAGAAAGUCGUAAAAAAGUCAUUGUAUAGUAAGACAUAGAAAAGUCAUAGAACACAGUAUAGUGAAGCAUAAAAAAUCAUUAAAACAUCUUUGUAUAGUAAGGCAUAAGAGUCAUAAAAAUGACACAGUAUAGUACAGCAUAAAAAGGUCAUACUAUAGGAAGGCAUAAAACCUCAUAAAACCCACACAGUAUAGUAAGGCAUAAAAACUCUGAAAAGGUCAUACUAUAGAAAGUCAUAAUAAGUCAUAAAAAAGUCAUAGAAAGGCAUGGAAUGUCAUAAAAACGACAUAGUAUAGUAAGGGAUAAAAAGUUAUUAAAAAUUUCACAGUAUAGUAAGGGAUAAUAAGUCAUAAAAAGUCAUAGUAUAGUAAGGCAUAAAAAGUCAUAAAAAUAACACGGUAUAGUAAGGCAUAAAAAGUAAUAAAAAAGUCAUAAUAUGGUAAGGCAUAAAAAGUCAUAAAAAUAACACGGUAUAGUAAGGCAUAAAAAGUCAUAAAAAUAACACGGUAUAGUAAGGCAUAAAAAGUCAUAAAAAAGUCAUAGUAUAGUAAGGCAUAAAAAGUCAUAAAAAUAACACGGUAUAGUAAGGCAUAAAAAGUCAUAAAAAAGUCAUAGUAUAGUAAGGCAUAAAAAGUCAUAAAAAUAACACGGUAUAGUAAGGCAUAAAAAGUCAUAAAAAAGUCAUAGUAUAACAAGGUAUAAAAAGUCAUAAAAAAGUCAUAGUAUAGUAAGGUAUAAAAAAUCAAAACAUCAUGUAUAGUAAGGCAUAAAAAGUCAUAAAAACGACACAGUAUAGUAAGGCAUAAAAAGUCAUAGUAUAGUAAGGCAUAAAAACUCAUGAAAAAGUCAUAGUAUAGAAAGUCAUAAAAAAUCAAAACGUCAUAGUAAGGCAUAAAAAGUCAUAAAAAAGUCAUAGUAUAGUAAGGCAUAAAAAGUCAUAGUAUAGUAGGCCAUAAAAAGUCAUAAAAACAACACGGUAUAGUAAGGCUUAAAAAGUCAUAAAAAGUCAUAGUAUAGUAAGGCAUAAAAACUCAUGAAAAAGUCAUAGUAUAGAAAGUCAUAAAAAAUCAAAACGUCAUAGUAAGGCAUAAAAAGUCAUAAAAAAGUCAUAGUAUAGUAAGGCAUAAAAAGUCAUAGUAUAGUAGGCCAUAAAAAGUCAUAAAAACAACACGGUAUAGUAAGGCUUAAAAAGUCAUAAAAAAGUCAUAGUAUGGUAAGGUAUAAAAAGUCAUAAAAAAGUCAUAGUAUAGUAAUUCAUAAAAACGACAUAGUAUAGUGAGGCAUAAAAAAUCCUGAAAAGGUCAUACUAUAGAAAGUCAUAAAAAGUCAUAAAAAAGUCAUAGUAUAGUAAGGCAUAAAAAGUCAUAAAAAAGUCAUAGUAUAGUAAGGCAUAAAAAGUCAUAGUAUAGUAAGGUAUAAAAAGUCAUAAAAACGACACAGUAUAGUAAGGUAUAAAAAGUCAUAAAAACGACAUAGUAUAGUGAGGCAUGAAUAGUCAUGAAAAGGUCAUACUAUAGAAAGUCAUAAAAAGUCCUAAAAAAGUCAUUGUAUAGUAAGGCAUAAAAAGUCAUAGUAUAGUAAGGCAUAAAAAGUCAUAGUAUAGUAAGUCAUAAAAAGUCAUAAAAAAAGUCAUAGUAUAGUAAGUCAUAAAAAGUCAUAAAAAAAGUCAUAGUAUAGUAAGGCAUAAAAAGUCAUAAAAACAACACGGUAUAGUAAGACAUAAAAAGUCAUAAAAAAGUCAUAGUAUAGUAAGGCAUAAAAAGUCAUAAAAAUAACACGGUAUAGUAAGGCAUAAAAAGUCAUAAAAAAGUCAUAGUAUAGUAAGGUAUAAAAAAUCAAAACAUCAUAGUAUAGUAAGGCAUAAAAAGUCAUAAAAACGACAUAGUAUAGUAAGGCAUAUAAAGUCAUAGUAUAGUAAGGCAUAAAAACUCAUGAAAAAGUCAUAGUAUAGAAAGUCAUAAAAAAUCAAAAUGUCAUAGUAUAGUAAGGCAUAAAAAGUCAUAAAAACAACACGGUAUAGUAAGGCAUAAAAAGUCAUAAAAAAGUAAUAGUAUAGUAAGGUAUAAAAAGUCAUAAAAAAGUCAUAGUAUAGUAAGGCAUAAAAAGUCAUAGUAUAGUAGGCCA
Long non-coding RNA from Seriola aureovittata, 4807 nucleotides. RefSeq lists it as uncharacterized. The record is from RefSeq and is a predicted model, not a curated record. The transcript is spliced from 3 exons. Lineage: Eukaryota; Metazoa; Chordata; Actinopteri; Carangiformes; Carangidae.